GCAGUAGUGGUUCAGUGGUAGAAUUCUCAUCUUCCAUGAGGGAGAGCUGGGUUUGAUCCCCUGCCAAUGUA
Molecule: transfer RNA, 71 nt
Filed under: Loxodonta africana (African savanna elephant)
Lineage: Eukaryota; Metazoa; Chordata; Mammalia; Proboscidea; Elephantidae
Rfam family: tRNA
About the family: Transfer RNA (tRNA) molecules are approximately 80 nucleotides in length.
Source: Rfam by way of RNAcentral